UCACUGAGCUGAGAAGGGGCACACAGUGGCUGCAGCCAGGCGCUCUUGGCUGAGCUCUCCAGAAAGGAGCAGGUCCACACAGGUUCCAGCAGGUUCACCUGAGCUCUGCAAGCUACUGUGUUGAGGAUAACUGAGUGAAGAUGAGUAAACUGGAGAAAAACGAGGAGCGAUCAGCCGUUCCACCAUCCAACUGUGCGUCUCUGCAGAGUGACUGGUCCAGAGACUCCCCUCCUUACUUCCGAGAUGAGCCUGGACCCUCAGACACAAAGAGCUGUGACCAGUGCAUCACGUUAUACUCAAACCAGUGUGGUUCAUUAGCAGACUCAUGUCCCCAGUGUGGAGAAAGGCUGAGAACAAAACCUGGACUUCAUACCGACAGUCAGACCAUCUUCGUGCAAAAUGCUGCUCUGCAUGAGAUUUUAACUGAACAUAAGAUUAGUCUGAGG
Non-coding RNA from Neolamprologus brichardi, 446 nucleotides. NCBI's taxonomy places the organism in Eukaryota, Metazoa, Chordata, Actinopteri, Cichliformes, Cichlidae. The record is from RefSeq and is a predicted model, not a curated record.